GACGAACGCUGGCGGCGUGCUUAACACAUGCAAGUCGAACGGAAAGGCCCUGCUUUUGUGGGGUGCUCGAGUGGCGAACGGGUGAGUAACACGUGAGUAACCUGCCCUUGACUUUGGGAUAACUUCAGGAAACUGGGGCUAAUACCGGAUAGGAGCUCCUGCUGCAUGGUGGGGGUUGGAAAGUUUCGGCGGUUGGGGAUGGACUCGCGGCUUAUCAGCUUGUUGGUGGGGUAGUGGCUUACCAAGGCUUUGACGGGUAGCCGGCCUGAGAGGGUGACCGGCCACAUUGGGACUGAGAUACGGCCCAGACUCCUACGGGAGGCAGCAGCGGGGAAUAUUGCACAAUGGGCGGAAGCCUGAUGCGGCAACGCCGCGUGCGGGAUGACGGCCUUCGGGUUGUAAACCGCUUUCGCCUGUGACGAAGCGUGAGUGACGGUAAUGGGUAAAGAAGCACCGGCUAACUACGUG
This 468-nucleotide ribosomal RNA is filed under the name uncultured bacterium. Its description in RNAcentral is "partial 16S ribosomal RNA". It matches the Rfam family "Bacterial small subunit ribosomal RNA", at positions 28 to 507 of the family's 1533-position model. The record is from RNAcentral.